GAGCGAACGCUGGCGGCAGGCUUAACACAUGCAAGUCGAGCGGGCAUAGCAAUAUGUCAGCGGCAGACGGGUGAGUAACGCGUGGGAACGUACCUUUUGGUUCGGAACAACUGAGGGAAACUUCAGCUAAUACCGGAUAAGCCCUUACGGGGAAAGAUUUAUCGCCGAAAGAUCGGCCCGCGUCUGAUUAGCUAGUUGGUGAGGUAAUGGCUCACCAAGGCGACGAUCAGUAGCUGGUCUGAGAGGAUGAUCAGCCACAUUGGGACUGAGACACGGCCCAAACUCCUACGGGAGGCAGCAGUGGGGAAUAUUGGACAAUGGGCGCAAGCCUGAUCCAGCCAUGCCGCGUGAGUGAUGAAGGCCCUAGGGUUGUAAAGCUCUUUUGUGCGGGAAGAUAAUGACGGUACCGCAAGAAUAAGCCCCGGCUAACUUCGUG
Molecule: ribosomal RNA, 436 nt
Filed under: uncultured bacterium
Lineage: Bacteria
Description: partial 16S ribosomal RNA
Rfam family: Bacterial small subunit ribosomal RNA
Source: RNAcentral